RNAcentral lists this ribosomal RNA (301 nucleotides) under uncultured bacterium. RNAcentral's name for it is "partial 16S ribosomal RNA". It matches the Rfam family "Bacterial small subunit ribosomal RNA", at positions 509 to 809 of the family's 1533-position model. The record is from RNAcentral.
CAGUCGCCGCGGGAACACGUAGGUGGCAAGCGUUGUCCGGAAUUAUUGGGCGUAAAGGGCUCGCAGGCGGUUUCUUAAGUCUGAUGUGAAAGCCCCCGGCUCAACCGGGGAGGGUCAUUGGAAACUGGGAAACUUGAGUGCAGAAGAGGAGAGUGGAAUUCCACGUGUAGCGGUGAAAUGCGUAGAGAUGUGGAGGAACACCAGUGGCGAAGGCGACUCUCUGGUCUGUAACUGACGCUGAGGAGCGAAAGCGUGGGGAGCGAACAGGAUUAGAUACCCCGGUAGUCCCUGUCUCUUAUAU